Molecule: ribosomal RNA, 484 nt
Filed under: uncultured Bacillota bacterium
Lineage: Bacteria; Bacillati; Bacillota
Description: bacterial SSU rRNA
Rfam family: Bacterial small subunit ribosomal RNA
Source: RNAcentral
UGGGAAUCUUCCACAAUGGGCGCAAGCCUGAUGGAGCAACGCCGCGUGAGUGAUGAAGGCCUUCGGGUUGUAAAACUCUGUCUUCUGUGACGAACAAGUGCGUGAGUGGAAAGCUCGCACCCUGACGGUAACAGAGGAGGAAGCCACGGCUAACUACGUGCCAGCAGCCGCGGUAAUACGUAGGUGGCAAGCGUUGUCCGGAAUCACUGGGCGUAAAGCGCGCGCAGGCGGCGAUCUACGUCUGGGGUGAAAGCCCGGAGCUCAACUCCGGGACUGCCUUGGAUACGGGAUUGCUUGAGGACUGGAGAGGCAAGGGGAAUUCCACGUGUAGCGGUGAAAUGCGUAGAUAUGUGGAGGAACACCUGUGGCGAAGGCGCCUUGCUGGCCAAUUUCUGACGCUGAGGCGCGAAAGCGUGGGGAGCAAACAGGAUUAGAUACCCUGGUAGUCCACGCCGUAAACGAUGAGUGCUAGGUGUUCGGGGGG